UACAGAGGGGGCAAGCGUUAUUCGGAAUUAUUGGGCGUAAAGGGCGCGUAGGCGGCGAUUCAAGUGGCGGGUGAAAUCCCCCGGCUUAACCUGGGAACUGCGUCUGAUACUGGGAGGCUUGAGUAUGGGAGAGGGAUGUAGAAUUCCAGGUGUAGCGGUGAAAUGCGUAGAUAUCUGGAGGAAUACCGGUGGCGAAGGCGGCAUCCUGGACCAUUACUGACGCUUAAGCGCGAAAGCUAGGGGAGCAAACGGG
Molecule: ribosomal RNA, 253 nt
Filed under: uncultured bacterium
Lineage: Bacteria
Description: partial 16S ribosomal RNA
Rfam family: Bacterial small subunit ribosomal RNA
Source: RNAcentral